Populus nigra (black poplar) is the source of this 1154-nucleotide long non-coding RNA. RefSeq lists it as uncharacterized. The record is from RefSeq and is a predicted model, not a curated record. The transcript is spliced from 2 exons. NCBI's taxonomy places the organism in Eukaryota, Viridiplantae, Streptophyta, Magnoliopsida, Malpighiales, Salicaceae.
UAUACCCAUUUUUGUAGAUAAUGAAAACGAUAGCUCGGUGAAUAAAAGCUCUUGCCCUUGUAGAUGAGGUUUGGACGUUCGAGAUCGAUGCUGCCUCUCAAUCCUCAUCGUGAUAGCUCGUACCGUUCCUCUUCUUGUUUUUGUUUUUGUUUUUGUUUUUUCCCCUCAACGUUCGAAAAUUGAAAAUGUAUUUCGGAAAGCCCGUUUUCUCAAACAUGCUAAUUUAAUAAUUUCAGUCAAUAUAUGCUUCCCAUAUUAUAUUAUAUUAUAUUAUAGACAAACAAUUAUAAUUAUUUUGGGAUUUAGAGAUAUAUUCACGUUCAAUGCUAUAAAUAAUUACCAUAUCAAUUCAUUAUGGGAAAUGCUUCAAUUACAUAUAGGCACUAAUAAAUCAAAAGGUUAUUUAGAGUUGCAUUGCAAUAUGCUGUUCUGAAUUAUCUCUGUAUGAGGCAUCUUCCCUUCAAUAAAUGCCAGAUGAUUCAUGUUAGACAGACCUCUCUAUCCUAGUCCUAACAAGCAGAGGGGUGGCACGUGUCUGUAUUGCUGAGGAUGAAGAUGAACCAGCGUUUUUUAUGGUUAAAAAGCAGAUAGCUAUAUCCUUUUGAGCCAUGGAAUAACUGGUGCAAAUGUGGCACACAUGAUGAUGGGUGAUGGAAAGUAGAGAUAAGAUCCUAUCCCUAAAGCAUGGCUCUGGAGCCUUUGGUGAUCCGAACUUGCUAGAGACCGGCCCCUUGCAUCCCUUGUAAUGUCACUGACAUGAGGAUCGAGAGUUCUUGCAGGAUAUAAACAUACAAAUUCGUUCCCAUUGCUGACUUGUAGUUGCUAGACAUGAAUGAGAGCUUCAACCAAGAAGUGGAAACUCGCAAAAUCUUCUUUCUCCUCGAUGAACAUUCCAAUUCCCAGGCAAUUCGUGCGCUGGUCUUCUUGUUCAAUAUUUUGGUACUGUUCGUCAAUCAUUAUGAUGGCAAGAUUGUGGAAUAUUCUCGAGCUAAGACCAUACUUAACCAUUCUUUUUGCAGCGAUAAUUAGCUGGUCGAAACAUUUUCUCUAGAACACAGACAUUGUGACUCUCCAAGCUAGUGAAGCUCUUGAAGGAGAAAUUAAGAACAUGGGACAUGGAAGGUUAUAUAGUUUCUUGCAAUUUUAGAUUUUCA